GUGCCAGCCGCCGCGGUAAGACGAACCGUGCGAACGUUGUUCGGAAUCACUGGGCUUAAAGGGCGCGUAGGCGGCUUAUCAAGUCAGGGGUGAAAUUUUGCGGCUUAACCGUAACAGUGCCUUUGAUACUGAUAGGCUCGAGGGAGAUAGGGGUCUGCGGAACUUCCGGUGGAGCGGUGAAAUGCGUUGAUAUCGGAAGGAACGCCGGUGGCGAAAGCGGCGGACUGGAUCUCUUCUGACGCUGAGGCGCGAAAGCUAGGGGAGCAAACGGGAUUAGAUACCCUCGUAGUCC
RNAcentral lists this ribosomal RNA (292 nucleotides) under uncultured bacterium. RNAcentral describes it as "partial 16S ribosomal RNA". It matches the Rfam family "Bacterial small subunit ribosomal RNA", at positions 505 to 796 of the family's 1533-position model. The record is from RNAcentral.